RNAcentral lists this transfer RNA (68 nucleotides) under Urocitellus parryii (Arctic ground squirrel). Its description in RNAcentral is "Spermophilus parryii (Arctic ground squirrel) tRNA". It matches the Rfam family "tRNA". Rfam says of the family: Transfer RNA (tRNA) molecules are approximately 80 nucleotides in length. RNAcentral also lists the same sequence under 2 other names. The record is from Rfam by way of RNAcentral. Lineage: Eukaryota; Metazoa; Chordata; Mammalia; Rodentia; Sciuridae.
GACUUUGUGGCUCAGUGGUAGAGCGCUUGCCUGGAAUGUGCAAAGCUUGGGUUCAAUCCCCAGCAUCA